GAGACCCACGCCAACAGUUGCCAGCACGUUCUCCGGAAUGGUGGGGACACUGUUGGGACCGCCUCUGCUAAAGAGGAGGAAGGAAUGGGCAACGGUAGGUCAGCAUGCCCCGAAUUACCCGGGCUACACGCGGGCUGCAAUGGACAGGACAAUGGGAAUCGACACCGAGAGGUGAAGGCAAUCCCCUAAACCUGCCCUUAGUUCGGAUUGUGGGCUGCAACUCGCCCACAUGAAGCUGGAAUCCGUAGUAAUCGCGGAUCAACAUUCCGCGGUGAAUAU
Molecule: ribosomal RNA, 279 nt
Filed under: uncultured archaeon
Lineage: Archaea
Description: partial 16S rRNA
Rfam family: Archaeal small subunit ribosomal RNA
Source: RNAcentral